CCCGGCAGCUAGCUCUCUGCAACUCUCACAUGGUCACCCACUGAAGCUAGGGCUGUGCCCGGUCAGUACCUGGAUGGGAGACCACAUGGGAAAGCUUGGUUGCUGCCGGAA
RNAcentral lists this ribosomal RNA (111 nucleotides) under Danio rerio (zebrafish). The record is from RNAcentral. Lineage: Eukaryota; Metazoa; Chordata; Actinopteri; Cypriniformes; Danionidae.